AGCACAUAACCUCACAACUUGAAUAAAACCUCAAUUUAAUUUAACUUUCAACUGAAAAUAAUUGUUUAGCCUCUAAGAGUUAUAAUAAAAUUGCAAAAGCUAAAGAAAAGAAGAAGAAAAGAAAAAGAAAAGAAGAAGAAAAAGAUGGAGAAGAAGAGAGGAGAGGAGGGAGAGAGGGAAAAAUAUGUGAUGCCUAGGUUUAAUUUUAGGAGUUUUUAUAUAGGCAAAAAAAUAAAAUUUAAUAAUUUAAAAUAAACUCUACUACUCCUAUCUUAUCCCUAUUCUAAUCUGAUUGUGUUUUAUCCCAUUUGAAACUGAUAUUAUCGUGGCAAAAUUUGCUGAAGUGGUGCUUUCUGAAACUCCCAUCGCCUUGGGCUACAGGUUUGAAACCUGUCUAAAAUUAAAUUUCAAGUAAAAAUUGAAUAUUUAUAUAAAAAUCAUAGCAAAAUUAUAUAAUUAAAUAAGAAAAAAGUUGUGAGUUUUGCAACUCAUUAGAUUUGCCACACUUGCACCUUUGCUUGUCCUCAAGUACAAAAAUUAAAAUGAAACAAUAAAACAGCAAAAACCCAAAGAAAAAUGGCAGAAAAAGAAUAAAAGUUUCCAAAAAUUUCAUAACACAGCAAAUAUAUAUGUUCAUCAAUCAGUCAUCAAUCACAAAAAAAUACUUCUAUUUUCAUACCAUAUCUCUCCCCACACUUACUCCUCACAUUAUCCUCCUCAAUGUGGAAAAAAUUAAUCAAACGGGAAAGUUCACAAAAUAAAAUAAAAGUAAGUCAGAUAGAACUUUCCUGAGGAGUAAGUAGAACUCAAGCAAGCUGGUGGUGAUUGGGGUAUGGGUAACCCAAAUGAGAGAAAAUGGCAUCCAAUUUAGCAUCAAUGUGGUCGUGAAGGCCUCAUGGUAGAGAUUUAGGGAAAGAGAAGGGCAAAAGUUAAAGAAUUUUAGAGCAAGGGAAGGACAACUUAGCAAUUUCAAAAUUUCGGAGGCUUCAAUUAGGGGUGACGGAGAUGGAGAGAGAGGAGAGAUAUUCCUUAAGAGAAAGGAAAGGAUCUGGGUCAAUUUGUAGGAUAAAUGAGGAGGGGCGAGAAUGACUGUGGUAUUACAGUGGGAUUGAAGGAGAAUUUAGGAGGUUUACAAAUGAAGUGACGGCAGGGGAAUGGCAACCAUGAGGAUCGGAGGGGAGAGAUAGAAUUACUUAGGCAAUAGAGGCAAGAGAGCUUAAAGAGAGGGUGGCUGACGAGAACGAAAUGAAGGAGAAAGAUG
This 1261-nucleotide long non-coding RNA is filed under the name Manihot esculenta (cassava). RNAcentral's name for it is "long non-coding RNA (MESC_LNC000174)". Lineage: Eukaryota; Viridiplantae; Streptophyta; Magnoliopsida; Malpighiales; Euphorbiaceae. The record is from RNAcentral.